Molecule: long non-coding RNA, 342 nt
Filed under: Brassica napus (rape)
Lineage: Eukaryota; Viridiplantae; Streptophyta; Magnoliopsida; Brassicales; Brassicaceae
Description: long non-coding RNA (BNAP_LNC005756)
Source: RNAcentral
UUGUUCCCAAAGUAUACGGAGCAAUAAACUGAAGGAAUGAGAAUGGACGAAAGGAAUCACCACCCUUCAUACACUCAAAGUCACCCUUCUCUCUCUAUCCUGAGCUCAAUGUCGCCCAAAUCCCUCUCUCUCUGCUUGGUUAAUGUCGCCCAAGUCCCUCUCUCCAAGGUCAAUGUCGCCUUUCUCCUCCCCUUAUCAAGUCUUUGUCUCCCAAAUCCGUCUCUCCUUGGUAAAUGUCGCCCAACUCCCUCUCUACUUGGUAAUGUGGCCCAAAUCCCUCUCUCCUUGGUUAAUGUGGCCCAAAUCCCUCUCUCCUUGGUCAAUGUCACCUGAUGCCUCUCU